AUGCUACACUCGUGCUGUUUAUUUGGGUAUCUAAGAAGUGCUCCACUACAUAGAAGGAACUGGAAAUUCAUGUUGAACUGUCUGACACAUUCUUUUAGCACUGGUUCAGCUUUUUUUCCCAGUUCCUGUAUGAAGACAACUCUACUUGGAAUAUGGAAGAAUGGAAGGAGCUGGGGCGGAAAUAGAGAAAUUGGACUGGUGUAGAUAUACCCACACCAAUAAUGCAUCAGGAAGGUAAAUGACACUUCACUCCAUGUAAAAGUGUGGGAUAGUGAUUUGUUUCAGUUAUUUCUCUAUUUGUCUGAAAAUAUAAGCUCAUCUAUUUCACUUUCUCCUCAUUCUCUAGGGAUUUUAGGGAUGUCAAGGUUUUUUUCAUAGAACAACAUUUUUUCCCUUAAAAGAUGGAUCUACCAUCAUUUCUCAGCAUUGACUCUAUACAGGUAUUUAUUCUGGGAAACUCAGUGGGAUAGUAAAUCAGAAAGAAUUUUUUUAUC
RNAcentral lists this long non-coding RNA (494 nucleotides) under Dromaius novaehollandiae (emu). RNAcentral's name for it is "lncRNA (ENSDNVG00000014408.1)". Lineage: Eukaryota; Metazoa; Chordata; Aves; Casuariiformes; Dromaiidae. The record is from RNAcentral.